This 2098-nucleotide unclassified non-coding RNA is filed under the name Polistes dominula (European paper wasp). RNAcentral's name for it is "tIP41-like protein, transcript variant X3". The record is from RNAcentral. Lineage: Eukaryota; Metazoa; Arthropoda; Insecta; Hymenoptera; Vespidae.
UUUUUUCAUUUUUAUAUUAUAAAUUUUAUCGUAUUUUUUAAUUUCAUUCAUUGACAAAUUUCGUAAUUUACAUUCGAAGGAAACUUCCUUAUCUUUUCUUUUUUUUUUUUCAUGUGGGAUAGAGGGUUGUUAAGUUUUGUCUAGGAUAUACAUGGUUCUGUUCAGAAAGAAUUGUUUUAGUUUAAUCUUGUAUAAAAUUAUUGUGCAAAAUUAUCAUAGUAAACACUCGGUAUAACCAACAAUUGAGUUCAUUUAUCUGCAAUAAACGUUGUAUUUUUUAGAUAAAUAAAUAAGAUAAUAAUAUUUUUAAAAAAAUGUAUGAGGACGAUAAUAUCAUUUGUUAACAAGAAGUUUUGAUCAUGACAACAGUGAAAGUUCAUGGCGGAGUAGAUAUACUACGGCUACCUGUUAAUGAAAAGGAGCAUGUCUUUCCACCAUGGCAAAUAAAAUAUACUCAAUCUCAUAUACUUCAUUCAAAAUGUUCAAAAAGCGAAAAUGGUUGCGGUGACCAAGAUGACACAACAGCAUGUCAAUUUUGCAUAUAUAGUAAAACAUUAGACCUGCCACAUAUGCCCGAUAUGGUAUUUCCAAAUAACAUAUUAACUUUGAAACACCGAACUGGAGCUAUCUUGCAGUUUAAUGCACUUGAUGCAUUAAAAUAUGUUUCCAAUGGCAAAAUCAAUGUACAACUUGCAUGUGCCGAAGCAUGGAAAGAAUCAAGAUUAGAAAGCAGCGAAUUUUUGGAAGAAAAAGUUAAACCAUUUGAUUGGACCUUUACAACCAAUUAUACUGGUACAAUAUCUGGAUUUCAUUUGGAAGAAACUAACGAAAGAAUUGAUUUAGAUAAAUUAAAGAGAAGAGAGAAAAUUAGGUUUUAUCAUGAUUUGACACUUUUUGAAGAUGAACUACAUGAUAAUGGUAUUGCUGUAUGUUCAGUUAAAAUUCGUGUAAUGCCUACAAGUUUCUUCAUUCUUCUGCGUUAUUUUUUGAGAAUUGACAAUGUUAUGUUAAGAAUAAAAGAUACUCGUAUCUAUCACGAAUUUGGACAAAAUUUUCUGUUAAGAGAAUUCACUACUCGAGAAGCCAAAGUUGAAGAUAUUCAUGUAUCUCCAGUUUUGUUCAUAGAACCAAGUGAUAUAGCACCUCACCUGCCAAUAAUCGAAAGUUAUUAUCAUAAAUUGAUUGUUUCGUCGAGAGAAGAAGAAACUGAAAUAAAAGAUGGAGUGUCAACAUCCGUUGAUAACACAACAGAUACUACUGUUACUUAAAGAUUAUCUGAAAAGAAACAAAAAAAAAAAAAGAAAUAAAGAGGAAAUACAACAUUCGAUCACAAAUUAAUAAAUUAAAGUUAAUGAGCUAAAAACUUGCACGCGUUUUGCAUUAAAAAGAAAAAAAGAAGAAAAAAAACCAGAAGAAGAAAUUAAAUUUUUUAAAAUAUAAUACUUCUCGCAAAGUAUAUAUAUAUAUAUAUAUAGGAUAUUAAUUUUAUAUAAUAAAUUAUUUGCUUGAAAAUUGAAUUGCAGUUGUAGCACAGAAGAAAAAUAAUAAAAAAAAAAAAUUAAAAAAAAAUAAAAAAACACAAGUUUAUAAUUGCUACGUCAGAGAUGUGCAAUGUAAAACAAACGUAAUAAUACAACCCAAAUGUUAAAAAUAAUAGUUUUUUGUUUCUUUAAUCUGCAAAUAAAGUUAUUUAACGUAAAAAUGAUUAAAAAAAAAAAAAAAAAACAUAUUUGUAGUGUAAAUUAUUACUGCAAUAUCUAACGUUGUUCUAUAUAUUCGUAUCCAUUUAGUUUAUUAUCAAGAGAAAGUCAUUAUCAAAGAAGAGAUAAUUAAAUUUAUCUAUUUCUGAUGACCAUCUAUAAAAAAAACUCUGGAUACAAAUAGUUUGAUAAGACAACGAUAUAAUAACAUCUAAAACACACACUCUCUCUCUCUCUUUCUCUCUCUCUCUCUCUCUCCAAUGUUGAAUGAAAUUUCAUAUGAAAUACAAUGGUACAGAUUGUGUAACGAAUCGACGAUACUCUUACUAUGAUCGUGUGUAUUCAUAAAAAAAACAAACGAUACCGAUAAUAAAAUUCUUGCAUUUGUAGACAUUGAA